UUGGGUAUGUUUGCUGCAAAUCUAUUGGUUAUAAGAUAUAACAGCCUUUUCUAAUUGGCUGAAUUCAAAUACAGAAAGUUUACCUGUUAGAUUGAAACAUGAAACAUGGUGGACAAUGUACUGGUUUAACUUGUUAAAAUAAAGUUAAAGACAUUUAACAAACAGAAGAGUUCAUUAGUUUUUCCAUUAAAAACACUUUCUUAAAAUACUUAUGUAUUUAUAUCAUUUGGAAAGUGACAUGAAAUAUUGCUAAAGAGUGAUGCAUACAGUGUUUGAGCAGUCUGUCUAGGAAUAGAACAACAACUGAAGUUGAUGGAAGAUACUGCAGAGUUUGGCAGGGAAAUAAUCCAACAGCAAAGCGGCUCUUUAAGCGCAUUUACCUAGAGGACUUACAGGGCCACAAAUUCAUGAGCACAUGUGAGCAGUAUACAAUGUACCUCAUACCAAAAAGGACCCGGAGGCAGUGACUGGUGUUCAAUAUUCUCAGAAGAAAAGGAAAAUGGCAGUGGAAGACUUGGACAAACAUUUUUAAAAACUAGCCUCUGUGUUAAGCCUGGCAGUCUGUGGCUGGUGACAUGUUUUAUUUUGGUUACUUCUUGUAUAAAAAAGACCAGUUAUUUAUUUUGUGAAUUGUA
Long non-coding RNA from Dreissena polymorpha, 635 nucleotides. RefSeq lists it as uncharacterized. The record is from RefSeq and is a predicted model, not a curated record. The transcript has 3 exons. NCBI's taxonomy places the organism in Eukaryota, Metazoa, Mollusca, Bivalvia, Myida, Dreissenidae.